RNAcentral lists this ribosomal RNA (505 nucleotides) under uncultured bacterium. Its description in RNAcentral is "partial 16S ribosomal RNA". It matches the Rfam family "Bacterial small subunit ribosomal RNA", at positions 355 to 852 of the family's 1533-position model. The record is from RNAcentral.
UAGGGAAUCUUCCACAAUGGACGAAAGUCUGAUGGAGCAACGCCGCGUGAGUGAAGAAGGUUUUCGGAUCGUAAAGCUCUGUUGUUGGUGAAGAAGGAUAGAGGCAGUAACUGGUCUUUAUUUGACGGUAAUCAACCAGAAAGUCACGGCUAACUACGUGCCAGCAGCCGCGGUAAUACGUAGUGGCAAGCGUUGUCCGGAUUUAUUGGGCGUAAAGCGAGCGCAGGCGGAAUGAUAAGUCUGAUGUGAAAGCCCACGGCUCAACCGUGGAACUGCAUCGGAAACUGUCAUUCUUGAGUGCAGAAGAGGAGAGUGGAACUCCAUGUGUAGCGGUGGAAUGCGUAGAUAUAUGGAAGAACACCAGUGGCGAAGGCGGCUCUCUGGUCUGCAACUGACGCUGGGGCUCGAAAGCAUGGGUAGCGAACAGGAUUAGAUACCCUGGUAGUCCAUGCCGUAAACGAUGAGCGCUAGGUGUUGGGGACUUUCCGGUCCUCAGUGCCGCAGC